UCCAGACUCCUACGGGAGGCAGCAGUGGGGAAUAUUGGGCAAUGGGCGCAAGCCUGACCCAGCAACGCCGCGUGAAGGAAGAAGGCUUUCGGGUUGUAAACUUCUUUUAAGAGGGAAGAGUAGAAGACGGUACCUCUUGAAUAAGCCACGACUAACUACGUGCCAGCAGCCGCGGUAAUACGUAGGGGGCAAGCGUUAUCCGGAUUUACUGGGUGUAAAGGGGGCGCAGACGGCGAUGCAAGCCAGGAGUGAAAGCCCGGGGCCCAACCCCGGGACUGCUCUUGGAACUGCGUGGCUGGAGUGCAGGAGGGGCAGGCGGAAUUCCUGGUGUAGCGGUGAAAUGCGUAGAUAUCAGGAGGAACACCGGUGGCGAAGGCGGCCCGCUGGACCGCAACUGACGUUGAGGCCCGAAAGCGUGGGGAGCAAACAGGAUUAGAUACCCGUGUAGGC
RNAcentral lists this ribosomal RNA (450 nucleotides) under uncultured bacterium. RNAcentral describes it as "partial 16S ribosomal RNA". It matches the Rfam family "Bacterial small subunit ribosomal RNA", at positions 330 to 795 of the family's 1533-position model. The record is from RNAcentral.